This is a long non-coding RNA of Peromyscus californicus insignis, 1453 nucleotides long. RefSeq lists it as uncharacterized. The transcript is spliced from 4 exons. The record is from RefSeq and is a predicted model, not a curated record. Lineage: Eukaryota; Metazoa; Chordata; Mammalia; Rodentia; Cricetidae.
UGCUGUGCUGCAGCUUGGCUGCGGGCUGAGGGUGGGGGGGUGUGCGCUGAGGGGCAGGCAGUCCCAGAGCUGGCCACAAGGUGGGAUGGUCAUUCUAAUUCCUGAGGCAUUUUGAAUGGCACUUGCCAGCCGCACGAGAAGCUCCUUAAGCCGGAAGGUAAACAACUCAAAAUAGCUGAAACCCACCAGAUUCCCUGGGCCCCUCCCUGCCAGAGUAAGCAAUAAAGGCGGAGUGUUCUCUCAGAAGAGCGGAGCAAACUCCAAAGAAGACCUGGGACCAGACCAGCUGCCCGGAAGAAGCAGAAACCAGCGGAGCUGCCUGGAAGAGGUUCAGACCAAUUAACUGAGGCACGUGGGAAGGACCCUCUCCAUUCUGUUGAGCUGCCCGUAGGCUGUGCAGUCAGCUCCAGGUUCCCAGCUCUGUGAGCUGUCACCGGUGCUGGGGAGGGCUCUGGUGAUGCAGCUGCCUUUGAGACAUUUCUGCUCCUGCUGAGUUUAAAAAGAUAGAAACUUUCAAGAACAUUCGAGGAGAACAGCAGUGCCGUGUGGAAGUCUGGGAACAGAUGGGUGAGUGGCGACUGCUUCAGCAGAUUUGAGAGGGCUGAAUCCCCAGCCGGUGGCUGAGAAAAUGGAAAAUCAACCUAAUGUACACAGUCGAGCUCUCAAAACAUGCAGGAGUGGGUGGUAGCAGGUACCAUGGAGGCCAGGAAAGAGCGUUGGACCCCCAGAACUGGAGUUUCAGGCUGUUGUGAGCUGUCUGAUGUGGGUUCUGGGAACCAAACUGGGUCUUCUGGAAGAGCAGAAAGCACUCUUAACUGCUGAGCCAGGGAUCAGCCUGCGCUCCAUUGUUCUUCUGAAUGAGGCACCAAACAGGUCUUCUAGCAUGUGAUUCUGGUACUUUCUAAAAACGACCCCUCCCACCCAAGCAGUGCAGCAGCAAAUGGGGUGGUUGAAACUGGGCAGCCUGAAGGGGUUUGCAAGGCUUGAAAAAGAGCUCGUCUCCUCCACAGCCUGCUUCCGUGUUUGUUUUAAAACCAGCACAGGUUAGUGUGGCAGCUGCACGGGCUCUCACUCCGCCGCCGCUGCAGGAGUGUGAAUUACCACAGCUUUUCCCAGGGACAAUCUGGCACAUCUCAAGAAGAGCCUCCUGCUUCUGUACAGCCUUUUAAUGGGGCUGUUCUACAACAGGGAUUUCUUCUGAGGAAAUGACCCUGUGUGUCUAAAAAUAGAGCUGUAAAGUCCAUCACAGCAGAGCUUUGAACAAUAAGCAUUGAAAAUAAUGUAAAGGGGUGAGUGAGAUAAAUCACGGUGCGUUUCUGUAAUGGGAUGUUGUGUUUCUGGGGAAUAUUAAGUAAAGAAAUUAUUAUGCUGUCAUGAGGGAAAAAACUGAUAUAAAGUGAUACAUAUAUAAUCAAUGUGAUCCAUUUUGUAUUCAAAAUACGUAUUUGCUAAU